Molecule: ribosomal RNA, 251 nt
Filed under: Clostridioides difficile
Lineage: Bacteria; Bacillati; Bacillota; Clostridia; Peptostreptococcales; Peptostreptococcaceae
Description: partial 16S ribosomal RNA
Rfam family: Bacterial small subunit ribosomal RNA
Source: RNAcentral
CUUGAAACUGGGAGACUUGAGUGCAGGAGAGGAGAGUGGAAUUCCUAGUGUAGCGGUGAAAUGCGUAGAUAUUAGGAGGAACACCAGUUGCGAAGGCGGCUCUCUGGACUGUAACUGACGCUGGGGCACGAAAGCGUGGGGAGCAAACAGGAUUAGAUACCCUGGUAGUCCACGCUGUAAACGAUGAGUACUAGGUGUCGGGGGUUACCCCCCUCGGUGCCGCAGCUAACGCAUUAAGUACUCCGCCUGGG